GAGUUUGAUCGUGGCUCAGAUUGAACGCUGGCGGCAUGCCUAACACAUGCAAGUCGAGCGGAUGACGGGAGCUUGCUCCUUGAUUCAGCGGCGGACGGGUGAGUAAUGCCUAGGAAUCUGCCUGGUAGUGGGGGACAACGUUUCGAAAGGAACGCUAAUACCGCAUACGUCCUACGGGAGAAAGCAGGGGACCUUCGGGCCUUGCGCUAUCAGAUGAGCCUAGGUCGGAUUAGCUAGUUGGUGGGGUAAUGGCUCACCAAGGCGACGAUCCGUAACUGGUCUGAGAGGAUGAUCAGUCACACUGGAACUGAGACACGGUCCAGACUCCUACGGGAGGCAGCAGUGGGGAAUAUUGGACAAUGGGCGAAAGCCUGAUCCAGCCAUGCCGCGUGUGUGAAGAAGGUCUUCGGAUUGUAAAGCACUUUAAGUUGGGAGGAAGGGCAGUAAGUUAAUACCUUGCUGUUUUGACGUUACCGACAGAAUAAGCACCGGCUAACUCUGUGCCAGCAC
RNAcentral lists this ribosomal RNA (510 nucleotides) under bacterium enrichment culture clone ALO1_GLFRUDD03GDJDW. RNAcentral describes it as "bacterial SSU rRNA". It matches the Rfam family "Bacterial small subunit ribosomal RNA", at positions 9 to 514 of the family's 1533-position model. The record is from RNAcentral.